CUACCCUCCUCACUUCUGUCCACUGAGUUUUUCACUAUCACUAGCAGCCCCUUCCAUACUCACCCUCUAUGGAGUGUAGAUAAGAAGAAAACUCAAGUGAGUCACAGCACUCUAAACUGUCAGUGUUUGAAAGACUGUCAGAUCCAGCAUCUACCUUCUCCCCACCCCAUUUCACAGAGCAAGAAAUUAAGCUUACUGAGAAGAAGAGAUUCAUUGUCAAUCUUAAGACAAAUUUCUGGCUCUGAGACCUACGUUAUUUCCAUUCCACUUUCCUGCCCUGAUAGCUCAGUUGGUAAAGAAUCUGCCUGCAAUGCAAGAGACCCUGGUUCAAUUCCUGGGCUGGGAAUAUCCACUGGAGAAGGGAUAGACUACCCACUCCAGUAUUCUUGGGCUUCCCUUGUGGCUUAGCUGGUAAAGAAUCCGCCUGCAAUGCAGGAGACCUGGGUUCGAUCCUUGAUUUGGAAAGAUCCACUGAAGAAGGGAAAGGCUAUAUAUACCAAUAUUCUGGCCUAGAGAAUUCCAUGGGGCUGUAUAGUCCAUGGGGUCACAAAGAGUCAAACACCACUGAACAACUUUCACUUUCACAUUUCACUUUCCUGCCAGUUCAAUUUACUUUAUUAACUUUGAACAGCCUUCGUUAAAAGCUUUGAUGGAACUAAAGGUUGCGUUGAUUAUUUAAAUAAGGUUUUCAAAGUAUCUGUGCAUUUCAGUUACAUACUCCCAUUUUCCAUUACAAUAAGGAAUUGAGAAUUGCCCUGUUACAAUUGGACAUCUUUAAGAAUAAGACUGUGCCUUAACCAUAAGAGUAUCUUGUGAGACUCUUUACCAACAAAGGGAGUAUAUCUGGGAUGUUCAGUCACUGAAGUCCCAGAAGACAGUUUUUCAUUUCUUCAGAUACAAAGCUCCUCAGGCUUCUGGAAGUUUCAUUUAUAGCCCUUUCCCAAGUUCCCUUGAUACUGAUGAGUCUAGCUCAAAUAGCAGUGAGAUGGAAGAGUAGUUUAGGUUCUACUAAAGUGAAACAUAGAACAAAUUAUGUCCUUGCUUCAGUGUCUUCAUCUGGGAAAUAAAGCAGAUCAUGCCCACUCAUCCCUGUCUUUAGUAUUACUUCCUUUGGUCACUGUAAGUAAAUUCUCAUGAUGCUUGGCUGUGAACAAGAUAAGACUCUGUAGAAACCUGCAAAAAGCAGAACAGGCUCAUGUGAAAAACUCCACUAGUUCUCUGGGACAGACAGACCCUGCCCAGAUCCAGAAGUCUAAGGGUUUUAAAAUCUAGGAAGGCCCAGAGACCCUGCUGACACCAAGGGACACCUCCUUCUCUAUAGAUCAACCUUUUCAUUUUCUCUGCUCUUUGAUUGCCACUUGGCUCUCCACUUUACACAGAGAAGAUGAGCCCUCUUCCAUAAAAGAACAAUUGUGAUAGCCCACAUCACCUUUCACUUCUGGCUGUCUACAAAAAGGAAGAAAAUCAGUGUUAUACAGGUUCCAUUCCUUGAAUAAUGCAGUUUGCAAACUUAAAAUAUGCAAAGGCAACUUGGAAAAGCAAGUGCCUGUAUAUAAGCAAAUGUCUGCAAAACCCUGGACAGAAUUGAGGUCUCUGUGUACAUGACAAGUAUUUCUAGUAUUCAGGUGUUUGUCUGCUCUUCUGAGUGAUUUUCCUUUGUACAUCUGGAUGAGUGAGAAGUGUGUGCUUAGAAGUAACUCUAGACAGGAAAACGGACAAGAAGAGGGUAGAGAUUACCUUUGGUUCCCAGGCAGAGGGUUCCUAGAGCAACUGAUACCACCCCACAAGGCCCAAUCUACCCCUAUCUGAAUCUGAAAGGGUUCAACAAGUACAGGCUGGCUUGGCCAUCAUAGCUAGUUCCUCAGUUUGUAGGAGACCUCCCAUUUGCACUUCCUGGUGGGCCUGCCCUGAACAUAGUCCCUCACUGAAGGAGAUCCUCGUAUUUCUUCUAUACUUCUAUCUCCCUUUCCCACUCCCUCCGCCCCCACACGUGCACAGGGUCUGUUUUGAGAUUGGACUUCAGAACCAAAAUGCUGGCCUCUGAGAGCUCAGUGGCCCUGUCUUUAAAAUAAAGCUCUGAGUUAAAGCUUAAAGAGUCAGCCCUGUCGCUUAAAAAUCUGGUCCAGAAAAGCAAGAGAUAGUCG
Bos grunniens (domestic yak) is the source of this 2144-nucleotide long non-coding RNA. NCBI's taxonomy places the organism in Eukaryota, Metazoa, Chordata, Mammalia, Artiodactyla, Bovidae. The record is from Ensembl.